GCAUAUCAAUAAGCGGAGGAAAAGAAACCAACAGGGAUUCCCCUAGUAACGGCGAGUGAAGCGGGAACAGCUCAAAUUUGAAAUCUGGCCCUCGGGUCCGAAUUGUAAUUUGCAGAGGAUGCUUUUGGUUAGGUACUUUCCGAGUUCCCUGGAACGGGACGCCUUAGAGGGUGAGAGCCCCGUACGGUUGGAUACCGAGCCUUUGUAAAGCUCCUUCGACGAGUCGAGUAGUUUGGGAAUGCUGCUCUAAAUGGGAGGUAAAUUUCUUCUAAAGCUAAAUACCGGCCAGAGACCGAUAGCGCACAAGUAGAGUGAUCGAAAGAUGAAAAGCACUUUGAAAAGAGGGUUAAAUAGCACGUGAAAUUGUUGAAAGGGAAGCGUUUAUGACCAGACUUUUUCCAGGCGGAUCAUCCGGUGUUCUCACCGGUGCACUUCGUCUGGUUGAGGCCAGCAUCGGUUUUCGUAGAGGGAUAAAAGCAGUAGGAAUGUGGUUCCUCCGGGAAUGUUAUAGCCUGCUGUAUAAUACCUCUAUGGGGACCGAGGUUCGCGCAUCUGCAAGG
Molecule: ribosomal RNA, 560 nt
Filed under: Beltraniella botryospora
Lineage: Eukaryota; Fungi; Ascomycota; Sordariomycetes; Amphisphaeriales; Beltraniaceae
Description: eukaryotic LSU rRNA
Rfam family: Eukaryotic large subunit ribosomal RNA
Source: RNAcentral